GCGGGAAUAGCUCAGUUGGUAGAGCCGACCUUGCCAAGGUCGGGGUCGCGAGUUCGAGUCUCGUUUCCCGCUCCA
This 75-nucleotide transfer RNA is filed under the name Escherichia coli. RNAcentral describes it as "tRNA-Gly". It matches the Rfam family "tRNA". Rfam says of the family: Transfer RNA (tRNA) molecules are approximately 80 nucleotides in length. Their secondary structure includes four short double-helical elements and three loops (D, anti-codon, and T loops). RNAcentral also lists the same sequence under 1 other name. The record is from RNAcentral. Lineage: Bacteria; Pseudomonadati; Pseudomonadota; Gammaproteobacteria; Enterobacterales; Enterobacteriaceae.